AUGCACCAACCACCAUGAAACCUCAAAAAAAGGAAGGAACUUUAAAAAAUGAGGAGAAAAAAAGAGAAAACUACCGCGGCGUGACGUCAGACGCCGAAAAGGUGGCCGCGUGCAUCAGCUCCUGUGUAAAAACGCAGCAAGGCGCUCCAGGAUGGCGUGUUCGACCUGGUCCAGAUUGGUGGCCUGUCCAGAAUGGAACAACUUGCUUCCUGCUCACGGAGACCUGGUCGGACCCGCCAUAUACAAAAGCCUGAGGCUGUCAAAAAAAGAUUGAUCUUCAUGAAGAUAGUCAAAUAGUAGGUGUCAUGAUUUAAUUCUGGGUGGCCGCCGCGUCCCCACUCUUUCUUGGCCGCUGUGCCUACAUCUCUCUGCAUUGUCCAACAUGGCCACGUUCUUUCUAUUCUCCUGCUUUCCAUCUGUCAAAUAGCUGAGGGUUGUACAUGGAGCAUUUUCCACAGGUUGGUUAUGUAUGUUCCUGUCCACUUUAUUGGGUGGUCUGAAAUCUGGUCCUUGGUUAUAUUUUUGUGGAACUGCUGAGCGAGUGAUUUGAAAGAAUCAGGUGACUGAUGGAGUGUUUGACAUUCUCUCUCUGAAUGAAUGCUUUGUGUGUGACUGAGAUGCCUGGUUUGAAUAGUUAAGAUGGUCUGAGAAUAUGAUUAUGUUCAGCAGUUCAUAUUAAAGUAGAUAUGGUGUCUUGAAGGGCUUAGAUGAUUGAUAUAAUGCACUAACAUUUCCUUUUUAGGUCUGUCUACAAAGGGUGAGUACAUAUUUUUUUCAUUUCUUCUCUGGGGGCUACUCUCUUGGCCUCCAUGUGUGGUAGGGUUUGCAGAGU
Solea solea (common sole) is the source of this 832-nucleotide long non-coding RNA. RefSeq lists it as uncharacterized. Lineage: Eukaryota; Metazoa; Chordata; Actinopteri; Pleuronectiformes; Soleidae. The transcript is spliced from 3 exons. The record is from RefSeq and is a predicted model, not a curated record.